Molecule: ribosomal RNA, 465 nt
Filed under: uncultured bacterium
Lineage: Bacteria
Description: partial 16S ribosomal RNA
Rfam family: Bacterial small subunit ribosomal RNA
Source: RNAcentral
GAUGAACGCUGGCGGCGUGCUUAACACAUGCAAGUCGAACGGAAAGGCCCCUUUGGGGGUACUCGAGUGGCGAACGGGUGAGUAACACGUGAGUAACCUGCCCUUGACUUCGGGAUAACUUCAGGAAACUGGGGCUAAUACCGGAUAGGAAUCCUUGCUGCAUGGUGGGGGUUGGAAAGCUUCGGCGGUUUUGGAUGGACUCGCGGCUUAUCAGCUUGUUGGUGGGGUAGUGGCUUACCAAGGCUUUGACGGGUAGCCGGCCUGAGAGGGCGACCGGCCACAUUGGGACUGAGAUACGGCCCAGACUCCUACGGGAGGCAGCAGGGGGGAAUAUUGCACAAUGGGCGGAAGCCUGAUGCAGCAACGCCGCGGGCGGGAUGACGGCCUUCGGGUUGUAAACCGCGUUCAGCAGGGGCGAAGCUUGUGGUGACGGUACCUGCAGAAGAAGCACCGGCUAACUACGUG